RNAcentral lists this ribosomal RNA (904 nucleotides) under Trochammina pacifica. RNAcentral describes it as "bacterial SSU rRNA". It matches the Rfam family "Eukaryotic small subunit ribosomal RNA", at positions 1197 to 1751 of the family's 1831-position model. The record is from RNAcentral. Lineage: Eukaryota; Foraminifera; Textulariida; Trochamminidae.
GACUCACGCGGGAAUCUUACCGGGUCCGGACACACUGAGGAUUGACAGGCAAUAUUAAAAUUAAUUUAUUAAUUUUAUGUUAAAUAUGCUAGUCCUUUCAUGAUUAUGUGAUAGGUGGUGCAUGGCCGUUCUUAGUUCGUGGAGUGAUCUGUCUGCUUAAUUGCGUUUCACUAAGGGCUUAUAAAUUACGUGUGUUGUAAGUACUUUGACCCCUGCGUUGAAAUAUUACGUAGUGCGUGUCUUAGUUUGCUUUACUCACACAAUUAAGUCCUGAAAGCAACGAACGUGACCGCAACCUCUUGUUGCCUUUAUUUCCAAACACAAUUUAAAUUUUAUUUAUUUUGUGCAAAAAAGGCUUUUAAACUAGAGGGACCGCUGUAACUUUUUUAAACCAGAGGAAGGUUGCGGCAAUAACAGGUCUGUGAUGCCCUUAGAUGUUCCGGGCUGCACACGUGCUACAAUGAUUAUUGCAGUGAGCAUCUCAUUUUAAUACACCGCUUGCGCGUGUCCAAUUAUUUGCAUACUUAUGUGUGUAUUUUAAUUGUGUACAUUGCGCGCGGUAAAGCCUGCUUCGAAAGUAAGUGGGUAAUCAAUUAGAAGUAAUGAUUUCCCUAUUUAUAGCACACAUAUAUACGGCAUCUUUACCCGGGUUAAGCUUGUCUUAACUUUUGUGUGUAUCGAUGUUUUUUCCGUAUGUGCAAUUGUCAAUUCAUGGUGGGGACAGACCAUUGUUAAUUGUUGGUCUCGGUCUUAACUAGGAAUGCCUUGUACGGGUCUUUGGUUCAACAAACCACCCGGAAUACGUCCCUGCCCUUUGUACACACCGCCCGUCGCUCUUACCGAUGGACUUCUCUGUGAGUUUGAGGGACUGGAUAUUGUAACUUUUAGUUACUACCAUCUAUGG